This 262-nucleotide long non-coding RNA is filed under the name Helianthus annuus (common sunflower). RNAcentral's name for it is "hypothetical non coding rna". Lineage: Eukaryota; Viridiplantae; Streptophyta; Magnoliopsida; Asterales; Asteraceae. The record is from RNAcentral.
AUAAAUAAGUAAAUAAUAUAGUUGUUGAAUAAAUAGCAUACUUUGGUGAAUAAGUGUGUUAAUCCAUAAGGUGUGAUGGUCAUGUUAAUGGUUGACUAAUCUAAUCAUCUUGUGGAUAUGAUAUGGUAGUUUGACUCUGACAAGCUAGGUAGGAGCUUGGAAAUGAACGGGUCAAAUGGAUACAAGUUCAAGUAUGAAGCUCGCAAGGAUGCAAGAUAUCCAAUGGAUACUCGCAUCGCUCUUAAUUAGCAAUUAUAAAGCA